UAUCUUAAAAUGUAAAUCUAUCUUAAAUUAUAAAAUUAUUAGUAAAUAGAAAGUAUAAGAAAUAGAAAUACACAAUAUAAAGAAAAAUAAAUAAUAAAUAAAUAUAUAAUAUAAGAAAAUACCCAAUUUAAAAAAUGGAAAAUUACAUUAAGAUUUAAAAAUAUAUCUUAAAAUUUAAAAUAUAGAUAUUACGUAAAUAGAAAGUAUAACAAAUGGAAAUAUACAAUUUAAAAAAAAGGGAAAACCUACAUUAAGAUUUAAACAUCUAUCUUAAAAUGUAAAAUAGAGAUAUUAAGUAAAUAAAAAGUACAAGAAAUGGAAAUACAUAUACAGGAAAAUAAAUAAUAAUUAAAUAAUAUAAAUAUAUAAUAUAUGAAUUAUAUCUAUAAUAAUAAGUAAAUACACAAUUUUUUAAAAAAAUGGAAAAAGUUCAUUAAGCAUUAAACAUCUAUCUUAAAAUGUAAAAUAUAUGAUAAAAGUAAAUACACAAUUUAAAAAAGGAAAACGUACAUUAAGAUUUAAAUAUCUAUUUUAAAAUAUAAAAUAUAGAUAUUACGUAAAUAAAAAAUAUAAGAAAUGGAAAUAAACAUUUUAAAAAAUGGAAAAAGUACAUUAAGAUUUAAACAUCGAUCUUAAAAUGUACAUCUAUCUUAAAAUGGUAGUAAAUUAUAUAAAAAUGAAAAUAACUCAUUAAACAAAAAAAAAUUAAAAAUGUAUAGUUUUACAUCAAGAAAGUCCCUGUAAAACUCAUUAUUCCAUCAACCUCACACUAUCAAAGAAAACUUCAAAGCACUCGAGCAAAAAAAUGGUUCUACCAUCAAUUCUUGCCGUCCCAAAAACCUUUAAUGACCUUGAAAGAGAUUUUUUAUAACAACAAACUUUUUGUUAGGUGGAUUCAUUGUUGGGAAACCCGCAACUUUCAAAAACCAAACUUAUUCAUGGGAAUUGAAUUGCUUUUCAUAGACUCAAAGGUAUUCUUACAAAUUUAAAUUAAUCUAAUCCAUAAUUUUAUUGUUAAUAUUCGUACUAGCUCUUUCAUGAUCAAACCAUUACAGUUAAUAAUCAUUCAAGCGCUUAUCCCGAAACACUUCCUUCCUCGCUGAAUCAGGUAU
RNAcentral lists this long non-coding RNA (1112 nucleotides) under Brassica rapa (field mustard). Its description in RNAcentral is "long non-coding RNA (BRAP_LNC005228)". The record is from RNAcentral. Lineage: Eukaryota; Viridiplantae; Streptophyta; Magnoliopsida; Brassicales; Brassicaceae.